Molecule: RNA transcript, 1609 nt
Organism: Humulus lupulus (European hop)
Lineage: Eukaryota; Viridiplantae; Streptophyta; Magnoliopsida; Rosales; Cannabaceae
Gene name: mediator-associated protein 2-like
Exons: 6
Source: RefSeq, a predicted model, not a curated record
ACUUCAGCCAACCGACCCUCUCUCUCAGUCUCUCGAACGUCUCUCCCUCCCGCCUCCCCGACCCUCUGUCUCGAGUCUCGGCGACGGCGAGCCACCAACUACACGCAGCAGCACCGACAGCAGCAGCGGACCUAUUCUCCUAGUCUUCUCCGGUUCUCUCCGACCAAACGCACCACGCAUCAGAGUCGACGGCCACGACGCUGACAGUACGCACCUCGGCCUCUCCCUCUUCUUUGGUUGUACGCUACAGCCCAGCAGCAUCACGCCGACGACAGUGCAGCUCAGCCAAGCAGUUAAGCUUUUGACUUGUAUUGAGCAAGGGGAAUGGCUUUUGAAUCUGCUGAUUUAGAAGAAUGUUACGUUCCUCCACCAGAAUUUCUGGAAGAUGUUAAGGAUCCACUUGUGGAUCUCAGCGUGACUGAUUCCACUGAGCUUUGGCUCAUUCAAUGGCCUAAGAAUAAUGACCCUGAUUUUGAUGGACAGGAACUGACACUCAAGCUUAACCAUGAUGGGAACCUGUCUAGCUUCAAGGGUGCAUCUGGCAAAGAAUAUGAUAUGGUUAGUUUUGCUUCUCAAGAAGCAAAUGCAACCGUUUUUUUAUCUUCUUCAUCAGGCACAAAAAUUGCUGGGAAGAUUUCACGACGAGUAUCCCUCGUACAUUACCCAGAGCCUCAUGAAUUGAAACAAGCUAGUUCCAGCAAACAUCUGUAUCACAAGUCCUCUAGCAUUUCAAUGACCAAUUCUUCCCAUCAUGUUGGAACACCUGCACAAAGCAGUCGGCCAAGAAACACUGGAGCUGCAAGUGGACGUACAACCUCCAGUCGUAGUAGCAGACAGAAAAGUUCUUUAUCAGAUGUUGGAGAUCAGCCAUCACAAACUCCAAAGAGAAGGCAUGCGCCCAAAUCCACUACAUCUAUUGACCAGUCUGCUCAAAACUCAGGUCGAGGUCAUAGCGCUAUUACUCAUUCGGGGUCAUCACAGCGUUCUCAUCAAGGGAAAUCAAAUAAGAGAAAACAAAAUGAGGAUUAAGGUCCUAAGGUGUCUUCCCUACUUGUUCUUGCAUACUAUUUUUUUGGCUAGCUGCUGAAGGGCUUAGGUGACUUGGGUGUGGAAACAUGGUGGAAAAAUCGACAAAAUGACAAAAAUUGGUGGAAAACAGUGUUUCGGAGCAUUUCCUGUGACUGCAGGAAGUGUCUUGCGACCGCAACUCCAGAGAAGUUUUUGCAUUUCUAGAGCAUUCCUGCGACCGCAGGAAUGACAUCCUGCAACCGCAGGAUAUGUCUACAAAUGAGAAAAACGCAGAUUUUUAAUUAAGGGUGUUUUAGUCAUUUCAUGUUUAACAAAACAGUAAUUAAGUUUAAAUGACGAUAAAUGAGAGGGAAGGAUGCAUUUUUUGAUAUCUGGUCUGGGAGAGGAGGCUUAGGAGGUUUUGGAUGAAGAUUGGAUUGAUCAUCUAGAGUUUUUUUCUUUUCUUUUUCUUUUAGUUUAUGUUAAUUUCAUGUUUACGGAUUUCAUAAUGAUAAACAUGAACUAAAUUCUAUUUAGGGUUUUUAAUUGAAUCUCUUGAAUCUUUAUUAUAAAUUAAUGCAAGUUUUUAAUUUAUUCUUCA